UCGUCGUCGUCCCAAAUCCAAUCGCUAUCUCUUGUGGAGGAGAUAAAGGAGAAGGGGGACAGAGGAAAGAAGAGAGGGCACGGCGGCGGGAACCUAGCCUCCUCCAACGCGCGCCAGGACACACCGUCAGCGGCGUCGACAAGCGGCCCCACGCGCUCCACGCCCAGUAGGUCGCCGAACGCCGUGCAGGAGCUCACGGGACAGGCAGGGGAAAGGGCCCCACGCAAUGGAGGUCGUAGUCGACAUCGACGACGGCGAACGAUUGGAGGAUCACUUUGUGCGCGCUCUGGCUGGCGUUCUGGCUUGGAUCUCAACUUCUCUUCCACAUGUUCAUAGGAAAGGUGUUGCACUUGAUAGGUCAGUAGAUUUGUCAAAGUUUAGUGACGAUGAUGCAAACCAAAGCUGAGCUCGACGAGAUGUUUGGAUUUGACAGUAAACUGAUGUCUUCCAACAGAGAUUGGCAGAUGGUGUAUACAGAUAAUCAGGGUGACCUGAUUCUGGACUUUCAAUUGUAGUUCAAAUUGGCAGAUGGUGUAUACAUUCAAUUGUUCGCCUUGCUGUUUGUGCUCCACUCUUAACUGCAACCGUCUGACCCUGCUUCACUUGAGGUAUGUACUAUAGUUUCAGAAGAUGAAUAAUACCCAAUGCAUUGCUUCUCUGUUUCUCAAAUGUACUAUAAUUUAAUAUGCAAUCUGCAGUGUUGCACCACCUGAACAUUACAUGUAAUAAUGUUUAUACUUUCUGUAGAAGUUCCAAUAAAACUUCUCUUGAGAAGCUAGCACAUAAGGCAGUCAUAUUAGGUUUCAGACAUAGACAAUGCAGCUGGGAAUAUCAAUCAUAUAUUGGGUUUUAGACAUAAGCAAUGCAGCUAUGUAUAAAUAUAAAGGUAGAAUUGACUUGAAGUUGUUUCUUUGGCUGAGGUAGGAAGUAGGAAACGCGCAGCUUGAACUAGAGCAGAAAAACAUACUGAAAUUUUGUUGCAUCUUAGUACAUGCCCAGAGGUAUACCGCAUAUGUAGCAGGUGUACUGAAAUUUUGUUGCAUCUUAGUACAUGCCCAGAGGUAUACCGCAUAUGUAGCAGGUGGGGUUGUGUUGUUUCUUCUAUUUUCUUUUACACAGUCUAUUGACUGGUAGGAGGAUGAGAUGGAAGUUACCAAGUCACAAGCUUUCAAAGCAUACUUUUUCUUCUUCAGUAUUUAGGCAAUUACUCAAUUUUGAGGAGUUAUCCAUUCAAAAUCAAUGAAUAAGCUUGUUUCCCUCUUCAUAUCCCUUAUUCAUUGCAUCAUUUUCAAAAGAUUUACAGUCCUUUCACUGAAAUUAUCUCAAAGUGAAGACCAAGGACUCUGGGUGCAUACACAUGUUUUUAUUGUACCUAAUCUGUACCACUCACUGUGAGCUUUUUGUAAACUGUAGGAUAUCAUAGCCUGCUCUGCUAAACUGUAGGGGGAUUGGCAUAGCUUACUGCUUUUGUUGAACUGAAUUAGCAAAUAUAUGUUGCUUUUUAUUAGGAAAGUGAAAAAGAAACCAUUUGAUGUUGGGCCUAUCCCUCAGGUAGUGACAAUUCUGUUAACAAGCAUCAGAUAUUUUGUGAUGAGAGAAGUUGGAGAGUACUUAAUAGGUUUGAGGCACUAUUUUCAUUUGCUAUGUUGGGCAACCAUGAAAAAGUUGGGAUUGCAGUAAUCAAGCUAAAUCCAUUCAAGUGUGUUAACUGUUAUGCAUAUCAAUUUACAGUGUACAUGCACCAUUAGGUUUGGUCCUGUUUCUUCCUCUCAAGUUGGGUUUGGUGCUUUUUGUGUCCUUUACCAAAUAUGAAGUCUUUGGAGCUUGCCAGGACACACAAUUUGUAUGGCUGAUUAUAAGAGGUGAUUGUGUGGAUUGAGCUUUCAUGUUUCUGGUUGGCCUUGUGCAACUCAAUCCAAAACAAAUGUAAGACGGUAAUUGUGAAUAUUGUUAGUACUACAUGCCGGGUCAUGUGUUGUGCAAUUAAGGUUUUAUACUGGAAAUAAAGAAUAUUGCAUGCUGUUGA
Long non-coding RNA from Aegilops tauschii subsp. strangulata, 2026 nucleotides. RefSeq lists it as uncharacterized. Lineage: Eukaryota; Viridiplantae; Streptophyta; Magnoliopsida; Poales; Poaceae. The record is from RefSeq and is a predicted model, not a curated record.